CAGUAGCGUAUAUUAAAGUUGUUGCAGUUAAAAAGCUCGUAGUUGGAUUUCUGAUCGAGUGUGCCUAGCCCGCCUGCCUCAGUGCAGUGUGUGUUGCUGGUUGUCACCUUGAUCAUUUUUGAUCAAUGUACGGUGUCCCUUCAUUGGGUACAUUGUAAUUUUUGAUCAUCAUUUACUUUGAAAAAAUUAGAGUGUUCAAAGCAGGCAUUUUUUGCUAUGAAUAUUUGCAGCAUGGUAUAAUAAGAUAGGACUUUGGUUUUCCUAUUUUGUUGGUUUCUAGGACCAAAGUAAUGAUUGAUAGGGAAGGUUGGGGGUGCUCGUAUUCCAUGGCCAGAGGUGAAAUUCUUGGAUUCAUGGAAGACGAACUUAUGCGAAAGCAUUCACCAAGGACUUCCNCUUUAA
Molecule: ribosomal RNA, 402 nt
Filed under: uncultured eukaryote
Lineage: Eukaryota
Description: partial 18S ribosomal RNA
Rfam family: Eukaryotic small subunit ribosomal RNA
Source: RNAcentral